RNAcentral lists this unclassified non-coding RNA (286 nucleotides) under Hevea brasiliensis (rubber tree). Lineage: Eukaryota; Viridiplantae; Streptophyta; Magnoliopsida; Malpighiales; Euphorbiaceae. The record is from RNAcentral.
AUUUAUUUAAAACCCCAACUGGAAAGAUUGGCUGCUGAUUAUUACCCCAGAUUGCAAUUCUACUGCAUUGAUGUCAAUAUGGUGCCACACAAGCUAGUUGUUCGUGCCGGAUUAGCUAAGAUGCCAGCUAUACAGCUAUGGAAGGAUGGUAAGAAGCAAGACGAGGUGAUUGGUCUCUACAAAGCAUAUUUAGUUGUCAACGAUGUUCGGAAAAUGAUUGAACUUGAGCUAACAGGCGAGUGACUUACGAUUCAUUUCCAUCCGCACCCUCUUAUCCACUUAGUGG